AUUGAACGCUGGCGGCAGGCCUAACACAUGCAAGUCGAACGAGCGGCGGACGGGUGAGUAAUGUCUGGGCAACUGCCUGAUGGAGGGGGAUAACUACUGGAAACGGUAGCUAAUACCGCAUACCAUCAGAUGUUCCCAGCUGGGAUUAGCUAGUUGGUGGGGUAAAGGCUCACCUAGGCGACGAUCGCUAGCUGGUCUGAGAGGAUGACCAGCAAAACGGGAACUGAGACACGGCCCAGACUCCUACGGGAGGAAGAAGGGGGGAAUAUUGAACAAUGGGCGCAAGCCUGAUGCAGCCAUGCCGCGUGUAUGAAGAAGGCCUGAGGGUUGUAAAGCACUUUCAGCGGGGAGGCGUUACUCGCAGAAGAAGCACCGGCUAACUCCGUGCCAGCAGCCGCGGUAAUAC
This 406-nucleotide ribosomal RNA is filed under the name uncultured bacterium. Its description in RNAcentral is "partial 16S ribosomal RNA". It matches the Rfam family "Bacterial small subunit ribosomal RNA", at positions 30 to 526 of the family's 1533-position model. The record is from RNAcentral.